AUUGAACGCUGGCGGCAUGCUUUACACAUGCAAGUCGAACGGCAGCGCGGGCUUCGGCCUGGCGGCGAGGGGCGAACGGGUGAGUAGUGCAUCGGAACGUGCCCAGUAGUGGGGGAUAGCCCGGCGAAAGCCGGAUUAAUACCGCAUACGACCUGAGGGUGAAAGCGGGGGACCGAAAGGCCUCGCGCUAUUGGAGCGGCCGAUGUCGGAUUAGCUAGUUGGUGGGGUAAGGGCUUACCAAGGCGACGAUCCGUAGCUGGUCUGAGAGGACGACCAGCCACACUGGGACUGAGACACGGCCCAGACUCCUACGGGAGGCAGCAGUGGGGAAUUUUGGACAAUGGGGGCAACCCUGAUCCAGCCAUGCCGCGUGCGGGAAGAAGGCCUUCGGGUUGUAAACCGCUUUUGUUCGGGAAGAAAUCCUCUGGGCUAAUACCCCGGGGGGAUGACGGUACCGGAAGAAUAAGCACCGGCUAACUACGUG
RNAcentral lists this ribosomal RNA (484 nucleotides) under uncultured bacterium. RNAcentral describes it as "partial 16S ribosomal RNA". It matches the Rfam family "Bacterial small subunit ribosomal RNA", at positions 28 to 507 of the family's 1533-position model. The record is from RNAcentral.